CUUUUGUGGGGUGCUCGAGUGGCGAACGGGUGAGUAACACGUGAGUAACCUGCCCUUGACUUUGGGAUAACUUCAGGAAACUGGGGCUAAUACCGGAUAGGAGCCAUUUUUAGUGUGAUGGUUGGAAAGUUUUUCGGUGUAGGAUGAGCUCGCGGCCUAUCAGCUUGUUGGUGGGGUAAUGGCCUACCAAGGCGGCGACGGGUAGCCGGCCUGAGAGGGUGGACGGCCACAUUGGGACUGAGAUACGGCCCAG
RNAcentral lists this ribosomal RNA (253 nucleotides) under uncultured Actinomycetales bacterium. RNAcentral describes it as "partial 16S ribosomal RNA". It matches the Rfam family "Bacterial small subunit ribosomal RNA", at positions 77 to 334 of the family's 1533-position model. The record is from RNAcentral. Lineage: Bacteria; Bacillati; Actinomycetota; Actinomycetes; Actinomycetales.